AAUGAACGUUGGCGGCGUGGAUUAGGCAUGCAAGUCGCGCGACAAGGAACCUUCGGGUUCUGGAGGAGCGGCAAACGGGGUAGUAAGGCAUCGGAACGUACCCUCUUGUUGGGAAUAGCCGCGGGAAACUGCGAGUAAUGCCCAAUAAUCCCUACGGGGCAAAGGUCCGCCGCAGGAGGAGCGGCCGAUGUGAUACCAGCUAGUUGGUGAGGUAAUGGCUCACCAAGGCUUUAGACGUCUAGGGGGUNUGAGAGCAUUGGCCCCCCACACUGGGACUGAGAUACUGCCCAGACACCUACGGGUGGCUG
RNAcentral lists this ribosomal RNA (308 nucleotides) under uncultured bacterium. RNAcentral's name for it is "bacterial SSU rRNA". It matches the Rfam family "Bacterial small subunit ribosomal RNA", at positions 29 to 351 of the family's 1533-position model. The record is from RNAcentral.